GUAUGUAUGUAUGUAUUUGGGAUAUCUUUAUAUAUAAUGCAAUUCAUCUAAUGCAUGUUUAACAGUCACAAUAAACAGAGUUAUAUCUCUUUAAUCCAGUUUAAACUACUCAUCUCGAGUCAAAUGUAUUAUACAGCACCUUCAAAACCUUCUUUACAGAAUAUAGAAGAAAGGAGUAAAAAAAAAAAAAAUUGAAGAUAAAGAAGGGACAAACGGAUCAUCCAGACUCAAAUGCAAGAUGAAAUAGAUUAAAGGGGGAAAAAAAGUUUUCUACUUAGAUUUACCAGCGUCAUAAUGUUGUAAGGCGUGUUUUGUCGAAACAACUGAGAUAUCUGAUCGGUCUGGUUCGUAAAGCUGUUUUACGGCCCGGUUUUACAGGGGAUUUAAUGAAAUAACUCCUAGCUUGUCAUUCUGUUUAACUCGAUCGAUUGCUUUAAUCCUCGUGUUUGACAUUUAACAGCUGUUUGUUCUGUAAGUUGUAGUUGGGGAGUUUGUGCUUCCUGUUAGGCAGCUUGCCAGAGAGUCCAGUUUUGUCUGACCGGACGUCUUUUCCUGACUAUGCAGGUUCUGUUUAGAUAAAAUGGAUGAAUAAAAACAUAUAUAAUAUUCUAUAUGUUGUCAUUUAAGCUUUGAUUGAUAUUCGGGCAGACUUCCUUUACUGAUAAUAGUGAAUAUGAAUCCUGCCUGGCUGACUUGUUUGUUUUGCUUCCUGGUUAGACUCGUUAGUCAAUACAAUGGGGCGGCUUGAACGGCGCUUUGAGAUGACUCCUGGUUUCAUAUGUUUGUACACAGACUUCAAAAAUCAUGGAUUUGUUUUUGGAUGUUUUGCGUUGCCGGGCCAUGAUUAGAACUGGGAUAAAGCUUUAAGAGUAAAGACUCCGGGCUGUUUGACGAACGCUGUUUUCCGAGCCCGUGAGAGGUUCUGAAGAGAUCUGAUCCCCGAUCAACCGUCAGGUCUGGAAGCUGUUCGUACUCACGGCGGACACGUACCGGGUAACGUGAUUGGUUCAACUUGUCUAGUAGAACUCCGGUUCUACUUUCAUAUUAUUGAUAUACAGCUGACAGUACACGGACGCCUGACUGUCGGUCCUGUAUGUGCUUGUUGAACAUCCCGUUCCUCUUUUUUGUUGUUAUAAUAAGCUCCACUCUUCUGGGAAGGCUUUCCACUAGAUUUUGGGGCGUGGCUGUGGGGAUUUGUGCUCAUUCAGCUACAAGAGCGUUGGUGAGGAGGCUCCAGUUCUUCCCAAAGGUGUUCAGUGGGGUUGAGGUCAGGUCUCUCGAGUUCUUCCACUCCAACAUUGGGAAACCGUGUCUUCAUGGAACUCAUUGUCAUGCUGGAACAGGUUCCAGUGAAGGGAAAUUGUAAUCCUGCAGCAUACAAAGACAUUCUAUACGAUUGUGUGCUUCAACUUUGUAGCAACAGUAUGGGGAAGAACCACAAAAUAAAAAAUAAAAAAACUGCAUGGAAUUGCAAAUCGAGCCACGGUUCGGACUCAGUUCUUCUAUGCGAAUGCAAACCUACGAUUUUGAGCCCCGCCCACAGACUGAAUCCAGAAACAGUACUAAGUGCAGACAGCAAAUGCUUUUUAAAAUUUUUUUUAUUUUUAUUUUUUCUCCUCUCUCCCCUUCCUGGCAGUGCCUCCACACAUUGUGGCUCAGGUGGUAGAGCGGGUUGUCCACUAAUCGUGGGGUUGGCGGUUUGAUUCCCGGCCCACAUGACUCCACAUACUGAAGUGUCCUUGGACAAGACACUGAACCCCAAGUUGCUCCCGAUGACCAGCCAGAGCCUCGCCUUUACACAGUGUAAAGUUCUUUGUAGAACCGCUAAGCUUAAAAAUCGCUAAAUAAGUGCAGGCCAUUUACACGCCGGGUAUUACUAUCGGUCCGUUUGAAUCGAACCCUGGUGUGUUUUCGCCCUCGGCGCGGUUCUUUCGUCACACGAGCAGUCGUUUCCGAGAGUGUCUGAGCGAGGUGAUCUGGACACGCUUCUGAUCAAACUCGAUUGCAGCGAGCCGACUCUGAAUCAGUUGCAGGAAGUGAAUCAAACCCCACGCGUUUUGGUCGCACUGUAGUAGUGUUUUAUUUUCCCUACACGGUCGCUGCUAAACUGAGCCAAAGGUCAGAGCUGUAGCGCUACAGAAAUGCCACGUGCUCUGAAGAUUCAGACGAAGACAAAAAGAGAAAAUAAUUGCUGGGUGUGACAAAACUGACUUCACUUAGAUAUUUCUAGAGCUAUCUAACCAUUUAUUUAGCUCUAUCUCCCUGUUCAUGUGAUUUAAAAAUAAAUAAAUAAAUAAAUUAUAGUGGCUUCUGCGCAGACAAAAACCUAUAUCUGACCAACGAACGAAAGAGUUUCACGAACACGAGCCAGAAGUGUCAAUUUCUCUCUGAUUCAGACUCGGCGAAAUACCUCAUAGGUGUGAAAGUGCUCCUGAUGGUUAUAUUGAAGGAAAAGUUCAGUGUUUUUCCUUUCAUUCUGCCGCCAUGUUUUUUUCCGGACGGAUCUUCUUGUUUCUCCUUUCUUCUAAUCGCCGAGUUACAGUGACCGUUUCAUAUCUAGAUACGGUCACGCUUCUAUAUCGGGCCGUAGGACCGUCAUCAAUAAGGAUUAGUGAGCCUGUUCCAGAAGCAGCCAUGCAAGCCCCAAGCCAUGACACUACCUCCACUGUGUUUCAUAGACGAGCUUGUACAUUUUGGAUCACGAGCCGAUCCUUUCAGUGUCCACACUUUGACCUUUCCAUCACUUUUGGUAGAGCUUAAUAUUGGUCCCAGAACGUUUGUGGCUCUUCCCUGUAUUUCUUUAUGAAAUUCUGAUAGAUUUUUUCCCCCCUCUUUUCUCAGCUUCAAAACGGCUUCUCCCAUAGACAGCUCUCUGCUCUUCAUGUUGGUUUAUUUUUUUUUUAAACAUCUAUUAUUAUUUUGAUUAUACAGCAAAUGCCGUUUUCACAGGCUAAACCCAGGGCUCAAACCAAAA
Ictalurus punctatus (channel catfish) is the source of this 2974-nucleotide long non-coding RNA. NCBI's taxonomy places the organism in Eukaryota, Metazoa, Chordata, Actinopteri, Siluriformes, Ictaluridae. The record is from Ensembl.